CUUGCUACAUAAAAGGACACCACUGCUUCAUAAAAAAUGAAGGCGGCCAUAGUGAUAUCAUCUAUUCCCGUCACGAUGAUUUGGAUUCGGUCAGCAGAUUACCGGCGUCUAGGGCCAGUCAACGAUGACGGCGAUUCGAUUGUACAAUUUGACCGGCAAGCACAUGUAACAGUUUCGAGGAGCGUGUGCGGGUUUUGCUUGGAAUCCAGUCGCUACAGAACUCAAAGUUAGCGAGUAAGGGUUGUAUAGAUGAAAUCGGACAAGAGGGAAACAAUGAUGGUUAAGAUGGAAUAUGUUGGUGACCGACGGUGACGAAGAAGUUGCCAGAAACGAAGAAGCCUAAUCGAGUAAUAGACAGCCAUAGUUCGGUCCUCCGAAACCUGAUGGACAACCAUAGCUCUCAGGGUUCAGCCAUAAAACAAAACUGUAGGAAGAGUACAAAGAUGUACCCCUGUUUGAAGAGGAACAAGCUGCUCGUCAUGCUGCUAUUGCAGUCGCUGAGGACGGGAGCAGUAGUAUGCACAUAUGGAUGAAUCUGAGUUCUGUAAGAAGUGGGUUGGUGACAUUACCGUAAAGUAAGGGAUUGGUCAGUAGACUUUUCUGUUGCCGACUUUCCGCAAUCAACAUCAAGAGUUCCAAAAUAUAAGUUGAUAGCCAUUCAUAACCAAGCAGAUUGAAUGAAAAUGCCAAAGUUACAAAGAACAUCCGGGUGAAAGUACGGUUGUUGACAAGAGCAUAAGCAUGGGUUGAUGAAGGGAUAAAAGACCAUAUUGCCUUUGAAAGAUGGCAAUCCCAACUGAUGACUUGGCAAAUGAGAGCUCAACUUCUCAGGUACUGUGAGCAGGGAGUUAAUUGGUAACCAACCUCGAGGUGUAGACAAAAUCAAACAAUAUGUUGUUGAUUAAUUAUAUGGAAUCGCUUUUUAUGCCUCUUUGUAAAGCAAGAAAAGUUGACGAAGAAGAACGUUACAAGUCGAUAAUGAAGAAAACAGCCACCAAGGUCAUGAAGUAGACUGACUACCAACACAAAGAAAGUGAUGGUUGUAUACGAAUUUCUUGAUUAUAAACGCAAAAACAAGGUCCUGGCCAUCCAAGUUUACUGAUCAUUCCCGCAACUCUUUGAUUGCUUCUGUUAUAGUUGACGAACGACACCAACAAGCCGCCGCCAACCUAACCGUUGACAUCCAACGAUCGCUGCAAAGGGUUUGAAUUUUGUAUAUCUGUUCCUUGCUUUAACAAACAACUAAUUAAGCCCUUGUAUUAUAGGAGUCGGAACCUUUAGAUAUUGAUCCAUGUGACUUGUAGUUCAUAAAAUGAUCACAUUGAUUGAUAAAAAUGAAGAGACAGAACCGUAGACUGACCGUCAAGCAUAUUUUGGGCCUCAUCCAGUUAACCCAGCUUAUGUCUUUCUGUUCGCUUAUUUGUUGUUAACAAUCGUGUAACAGUUACAAAAACUUUUACUUUUUAGUCAUUUAUUGGGUGUUU
Molecule: long non-coding RNA, 1484 nt
Filed under: Helianthus annuus (common sunflower)
Lineage: Eukaryota; Viridiplantae; Streptophyta; Magnoliopsida; Asterales; Asteraceae
Source: RNAcentral